Molecule: ribosomal RNA, 115 nt
Filed under: uncultured bacterium
Lineage: Bacteria
Description: partial 16S ribosomal RNA
Source: RNAcentral
ACCACUAUUAAUGAUUAGCUUUUCCUCCCUGCUGAAAGUGCUUUACAACCCUAGGGCCUUCUUCACACACGCGGCAUGGCUGGAUCAGGCUUGCGCCCAUUGUCCAAUAUUCCCC